ACUCCUACGGGAGGCAGCAGUCGAGAAUCUUCCGCAAUGCGCGCAAGCGUGACGGAGCGACGCCGCGUGGGCGAUGAAGGCCUUCGGGUUGUAAAGCCCUGUUAGCUACUAUGAACCGCGGGUGGUGAACAACCAUCCCGUCUGACGUAAGUAGCAAAGAAAGCACCGGCUAACUACGUGCCAGCAGCCGCGGUAAUACGUAGGGUGCUAACGUUGUUCGGAAUCACCGGGCAUAAAGAGCGCGUAGGCGGUCUGAUAAGUCAGGUGUGAAAUCCCCCGGCUCAACCGGGGAACUGCACCUGAUACUGUUGGGCUUGAGUGCAGGAGGGGAGAGCGGAAUUCCU
This 344-nucleotide ribosomal RNA is filed under the name uncultured Planctomycetota bacterium. Its description in RNAcentral is "bacterial SSU rRNA". It matches the Rfam family "Bacterial small subunit ribosomal RNA", at positions 335 to 671 of the family's 1533-position model. Lineage: Bacteria; Pseudomonadati; Planctomycetota. The record is from RNAcentral.